GGGGGGAGACAAAAAAAAAAAAGUUGGCGAGCUAACACGGCUUGGCUCACCUGACCUGCCAGUGAUCUUCUAGUCAAGAGAAACGACGACACAUACACACACAUAUAUACAUAUAUGUAUACUUACAAAAAAAAAAAAAAAACUUCCAUACAUACAAACAUACACUCUCUCACAAGCCUUUCUUUACUUCUUUCUUACUUUCUUUCUGUCGAGUAGAGGGGGACGGGGCGGGGAGGACAGCUGUAGCCUUGAAUGUUAUGGUAAUCAUUUCCAUAGCAAGACUUCUUCUCAUGUUAAUCAGUGACCCAGCAUGACACACCUCAGUCAGUUUAGCAAAUGAUUGCAAUAAAUACAGCCUGCCAGUCUGGAAGCCCAAGCCAGUAAGUAAAUACACCAUGGACCUGUGCCACCGCUAACUUCGCCAGCCAACCAACCACCAUUACCACCACCACCAUCAUCAUCAUCAUCAUCAACGUCGUCGUCGUCUCCACCGCCGCCACUACCAGUUUUAAUCUACAGUACUUGGUAGCUUCCUGCUCCACAUUUCUCAACAGAAUAAAACGUUAUAUAGUAAAAGAAAAGCAGUGCCCGUGAUUCUUUUGCAGGACCAUCAAAAUUGGUGGAAAGGCAGGAGCUAUCCUCAAACCAGCGACCUGACCCAAAUGCUUACAACAGAGGAACUAAUUAGCAAAUAUCCAAAGAAUCAAAAUUCAGCAACAACUUUUAAUGAAGUGUUAUCUUAAUUAUGCAGUUAAUAUUGACAGAGAUUCGUUGCAAAUAUAAAAAAAAAAAAAAAAGAUUUUCUUUCAAGUGAGUUUUCUUCAUACACUUAACAAUUUAGAUGUAGUAAAUUGAGUAAAAGAAUAACAUUGACUAAAUUAUAUUUUGUGAGGCUAAACCAAUGUCAUGUAUCUAAUUUCAACCAAAUAAAGUGCUUUCAUUUUUGCAAAA
This is a long non-coding RNA of Octopus sinensis (East Asian common octopus), 951 nucleotides long. RefSeq lists it as uncharacterized. The transcript has 3 exons. The record is from RefSeq and is a predicted model, not a curated record. Lineage: Eukaryota; Metazoa; Mollusca; Cephalopoda; Octopoda; Octopodidae.